Molecule: transfer RNA, 72 nt
Filed under: Hyphomicrobiales bacterium
Lineage: Bacteria; Pseudomonadati; Pseudomonadota; Alphaproteobacteria; Hyphomicrobiales
Description: Rhizobiales bacterium (bioreactor metagenome) tRNA-OTHER
Rfam family: tRNA
About the family: Transfer RNA (tRNA) molecules are approximately 80 nucleotides in length.
Source: RNAcentral
GAGGCCGUAGCUCAGUGGCAGAGCGCCCGGUUCGCCGGGAGGUCGGGGGUUCGAUUCCCUUGGGCUUCUCCA